This 446-nucleotide ribosomal RNA is filed under the name uncultured bacterium. RNAcentral's name for it is "SSU rRNA". It matches the Rfam family "Bacterial small subunit ribosomal RNA", at positions 26 to 518 of the family's 1533-position model. The record is from RNAcentral.
AGAGCGAACGCUGGCGGCAGGCCUAACACAUGCAAGUCGAGCGCCGUAGCAAUACGGAGCGGCAGACGGGAGAGUAACACGUGGGAACGUACCUUUCAGUUCGGAACAACCCAGGGAAACUUGGGCUAAUACCGGAUACGCCCUUACGGGGAAAGAUUUAUCGCUGAAAGAUCGGCCCGCGUCUGAUUAGCUAGUUGGUGGGUAACGGCCCACCAAGGCUACGAUCAGUAGCUGGUCUGAGAGGAUGAUCAGCCUCACUGGGACUGAGACACGGCCCAGACUCCUACGGGAGGCAGCAGUGGGGAAUAUUGGACAAUGGGCGCAAGCCUGAUCCAGCCAUGCCGCGUGGAUGAUGAAGGCCCUAGGGUUGUAAAGUCCUUUCGGGCGGGGAAGAUAAUGACGGUACCCGCAGAAGAAGCCCCGGCUAACUUCGUGCCAGCAGCCGC